Molecule: long non-coding RNA, 6915 nt
Filed under: Homo sapiens (human)
Lineage: Eukaryota; Metazoa; Chordata; Mammalia; Primates; Hominidae
Description: HSALNT0061752
Source: RNAcentral
UAUAAGUGUCUAAUACUCAUCUUGGGGUAGGAAAUAAUAUAUAAAGUUUGGGAUGUGUUCUACAGAAACAUUGUGAUGUAUUAAACUGUACUAAAUUUUGUGGGGCCCAGACAUUGGCUUGAGUGUAGCAGCCAGCCUUACUAAUAACCUUAGGCAGGACACGAAGCUCUGUGCUCUUCCACUUUUGCAUCUGUAAAUUAAAGCCAUAAUGCCUGAAUUGUUUUGAUAACAGUGUGAUUGUGAGAACUAAAAUGAGAUAAUGUAUGUGGAUAAGGCUGGCCCUUGGAAACAUUAGCAUUUUUACUAAGUAAAAGCAAAGAAGGAAGUGUAGGAACUGGUCUAGUUUUGCUCUAUACAAGGUAACUUAGGCUCUUGGAUAGGCUUUUAUGAGCUAUCAAGGCAAAUGGACCCAGAAAUAUCCUCAAGGGAUAAAAGAAAUGUUUGGUUAGCAGGCCACAUGUAAGCAAUGAUUUUUUUUUUUUUUAAGUAAAAAGAAAAAAUGAAAAAUGCCAGGCCACAAGAUUAGCCCUCUUAGAGGCUCCUGGCAUCGUAACUGGGGAUCAUGGAUAUGUUAAAUAAUCAUGUUCGCUUCCCUUGAUUAGAUGGAAGCAUUAAGUCAUCUGAAACUAAAACUGAGUCACAGACAAACUUACGGGAAGAAACCCAAAGUCUGAGUGGUAAACGAAAUGGUGAAAAAAAUGUGUAUGGAUUCUAUGUUUCCGUAUGUCCAUGUUAGCAAGACUUCCCCUAGUGAAUCAUGACCCAUUUCUGUUUUUAGAGUUCAGGUGACUGCCUUACCUUGGGCCCCUCUGUUUGAAUGUGAUCAUUUGGACAAACUCUAGACUCUAUAUGCCAUUAAAGUUUUCAUGAGGAAUUUUUUAAAAAAUCAAACAUCAUAUUUAACCCUCCAAGAAAGAAAAGAAAAGCAAUGUGAGUAGCCAAGUUAUCUAGCUACAGAUAACUCAUUUGUUUGGGUUUUAAACACACUGAAUUGUUUGCAAACCUAUCUGCCCUCAUGUGUGUGUGUAACAAAAUAUUCUUUGUCAGGACUUUAGUUGUGGUGAGAGCCUGGUGAGCAUAAUUUCCUAAGGUCUCUUUUGUUAACACAGUUUUGGAACUCAUCUUUUAGAAAUGACCCCCUAUUCUGCAAACUACAAAACAGAAUUCGUGUCAUAAACUCUAUGCUUCAGUUGAAACACUCACCAUAUUCACUCACUUAUGUUAAACCCAUCUUUACCAAAUUAAAUUACUCCAUUCUGAAAACCACCAGUGGCUUUCCAUUUACUCACAAAGCUUUGUUUCCCAGAAGGGUCCUAGAUCAUUCUUACGUCUUCAGGUAGCUUACCCCUUUUCUUCAUGUCACCACCUCAGGAAGACAUGCCCAGACCCAUCCAGUCCCUCACGUCAUUCUCUCUUCUUGGCAGGUAACACCAUCAGAAAUAUUACUUGUUCUACUUUUAGUUCUAUAAGGAAUUGCCAAACUGUUUUCCGCAGUGGCUGUACUAGUUUACAUUCCCACCAGCAGUAACGUGUUCCCUGUUCGCCGUCUCCACACCAAUAUCUACUGUUUUUUAUUUUUUGAUUAUGGCCAUUCUUGCAAGAGUAAGGUGGUAUCACAUUGUGGUUUGAUUUGCAUUUCCCUGAUCAUUAGUGAUGUUGAGCAUUUUUUCAUAUGUUUGUUGACCAUUUGUAUAUCUUAUUUUCAGAAUUGUCUAUUUAUGUCCUUAGCCAACUUUUUGAUGGGAUUGUUUCUUUCUUUCUUACUGAUUUGUUUGAUUCAGCAAUCCCACUAUUGGGUAUCUACCCAGAAGAAAAUAAGUCAUUAUUCAAAAAAGAUACUUGCACAUGCAUGUUUAUAGCAGCACAAUUCGCAAUUGCAAAAUUGUGGAACCAACCCAAAUACCCAUCAGUCAACGAGUGGAUAAAGAAACCAUGGUAUGUAUAUACCAUGGAAUACUACACAGCCAUAAAAAGAAUGAAUUAACAGCAUUCGUGGUGACCUGGGUGAGAUUGGAGACUAUUAUUCUAAGUGAUGUAACUCAGGAAUAGGAAGCCAAAUAUCAUAUAUUCUCACUGAUAUGUGGGAGCUAAGCUAUAAGGACACAAAGGCAUAAGAAUGAUACGAUGGACUUUAGGGACUUGGGGGGAAGAGUGGGAGGGGGACGAGGGAUAAAAGACUACAAAUAUGGUACACUGUACACUGCUUGGGUGAUGGGUGCACCAAAAUCUCACAAAUCACCAAUAAAGAAGUUACUCAUGUAACCAAAUGCCACCUGUACCCCAAUAAGUUAUGGAAAAAAAGAAAUAUAAUUUGUUUGCUUGUUUAUAAGUUCUGAAAAGGCAGAGAUACUGUGUGUUAUGUUUGCCCUAUAUCCUCACUGCCUAUAGCAGUAACUAACAAGAAGUAGGGACGAAACAAAUGUUGAAUAAAUGCCAUUGAGUAUAAGCAAAAUAAUAUGAUCAUCUCUAUAAAGAUAACUUCACAUGACACAUUUAGAAGGCUGUGGAUAAGAAUAGCAUCAUUAGAAUUAUUGUGUUCCCAGUCAUGAUAGUUACUUUAAAGCAGACACUAGUUAUUUGGAAAUAUCCAUUGGCCAAAAGAAAAAAAAAGGCAUUUUUGUUUAAAAAUGCAACACGUUCUAUAUUCAGCUUGACUCUCUCUUCUUAUGCUUUUCUAAGCCUUUUAGCAAGAGAUAUUUAACACCUGGCUAAAGUUUUGUCCUCUGAUAAAAAUCUAGGAAUAAUUUUUCUCCUCACUCAAUUGCUCUGCAGUUCCUGCUUUCAGAAGGGGUUAGGAGGUUAGGGAUGGAGCAAGCGUUAGGAAUAGAGCAGGGGGUUAGGAGGUUAGGAAUGGAGCGAGUGUCUCAGAAGUCAACACAGGAAGCUUGGGAGCUGUUAAUUGGCCUUGUUUCUAUCUCAUAACAAUCGGUUGCUGGUAAAUGAGGGUACCAGUUGAGGGGAUGGGAGUCAAUUAUAUUGUUUUAGGCAUUUGUUACAAGGAGAAAACCACCUAAGACCUUAGGUGGCCAAAUAUGUAACCUGGGUCCUUCUCAAUAUUUCUGGAAGCGAUGAGCAAUGAUUGCAGUAGCAGUUUGGUUUGUGUUUGUUUAUUUGCUUGUAAUCUUUGCUGUUGCUGUUGCUUCUGCACCAGGAAUGGUGCAUUGGUGCAAGAUGGCAGAGUCUGCUUUAUAAGGCAGAAACUUUGUUAUUUAAUAUAUUAGAGGCUUUGGCCCUUAGGUUUAUGGACAGGAGUAAUUAAUGACUUUGUUCCUUUCUUGGUUGGAAAGCCUUUUUCAAAUUGGUAAAUACUUAAAACACCAAUAACAACAAAAACUCAGUGGCAAGUUGUUGGCAAUGGACAGAGAAACUUAGGCACACAGGAACUCUAUCAAGACUAACUUAGCUGAUUUAGCAGAAGUGAACAGAACUGAAAUGUAAAUCUGUUCAGGGUGGGAUGCCAAUGAGAAGUAAGCCAAUUCUUGAGUUGAAAGAUGGGACAUAAAAUUGUUUAUAUGGUAUGAUUGCAAUGUUGCUUCACAUGCAUGUUCUUUCUUGCUUACAUACACACAACAUAAAUCAUAAAUAUACAUAUAUUGCAGACACAACACUAAAAGAAACACAUCAGAAUGUAAAGACCAGUUACUUCUGGGGAGUUGGAUUCUGAGUGAUUUUGUUUUCUUUAUUCUCUGUUCUCCCAUUUUCCUUGCCAAGCUUCCGCAUUCGGUCUCUUCAUAUCCAGCUCUGCUACCAAAGAAACUCUGAUGCUUCUCCAGCCCAAGUCAGCCAAGUCCUGAAGUAUCCAAGUUAACCUCUGACUUCCUGGGCUCAGAAAUGUUUUGUUGCUUCUGUUUGUUCUCCGUCCCUGGGUCCACGCUCACGGGAUUAAAUUGUUCUUCACAUUAAACUCCACUUAAUAGUUUCCUUGUCUAGCACUCAGGUAGUUUUAAAACGUGGCCAAAAAUUAUUUGACACUACUCCUAGCGAGAGAUGGGGUCUUUGUCCCCUCCCCUUGAAUAUGGGUAGUCUUGUGAUUGUGAAUGUUUCAACCAGGUGAGUGUGGUGGGAAUGACACUGUGUGGCUUAUGAAGCUGGGACAUGAGGGGAAGUGCAGUUUCGAGUUUGUUUCUGGAACACUCACUCUUGGAGUUCUAAGCCACCAUAUAAAGUCUGACUACCUUGAAGCUGUCUGCUGUGAAUUAGCUCAGGCUCCCUGGAGAGACUGUGCAUAGGCACUGAGCCCAACAGUGAGUGAAUGAGCCUUCAGAUGAUUCCAGCUCUUUCAGUUUUCUCUCAGCCUUUGAAUCUUCCUGGCUGACACCACAGACAAGGAGAAGCAGGGUGAAGCUGUUUUUACUGUGCAUUUUCUGAAUUUCUGAGGCCAGAAUCUGUGAGCUUAAUAAAAUGGUGGUUGUAAGUGGCACUGCCAGAUUUUGGGGUGAUUUGUUACACAGCAAUUGUAACCAGAACAGGAAAUUUGAAUCCAACUUGCGCCAGACUUCUUACAAAGGACUGAAGUCAGCUGUUUUCUUUCUAUGGCCCAGGAGCUAAAUGCAACUAUUCUCCCAUGCUAACAUCAUGCUCUUCCCAAAUGUUCCAUUAACUCAAGCAGCCUGAAAGAGAAACUCUGCUUCCUAUCACAAAUAUGUCCGAGGAGCCCCUAUACAUAGUUAGAGAUUUCUCUUAAUAAGUCAUAUCCUUCCCUUAGUAAGUCAUAUCCUUCACCUGUGAAACUUCUGGAUCCUGGGAUUAAAUGACUCAAUUUGCUUUGCUUUCCACGUUCUAGAAAUUGUCUCACUUCCUAAAAAGCAUGAAUGAAGUUGUCUUCUGGUCCAAUUUGGAUUUAGCUGAAGAUUCUAACCUGAACGUUUUCUUCAGUCAGGACCUAAGGACACAUUUACCCUGAAUGUCAGAUCCCAGAAGAGAGGACAAAGUAAAGAAAGUUACUGGAGGAUGUGUUCCACCAAAACAAUGGAAUGAAUCACAGGAAUGAGGAUCUAAUAAAGGAGAGAAGUUAAGGGAUUCCAAUGAUUACAAUGAUGAGAAAUCCCAUGGGAAUUUCAGCUCCAUCAAUCCAGGUAGGAGAAGGAUGAAGGUUUCCUCUAAGAGAGUCAUCUCCAAGACAAAAGACAAAGAAAUUGCUGGAUGUGACUGACCCCAUUGGUUGAAGUUUUACAGCUUAUCCCAAAGAAUUAAAAUGUAGUGGUGGCACAUAGAAAACUAAGCAACUGAAUAAAGAAUUUAAUGAUAGUUUAGUACACAGUAAAUAAAUUUAAAAGGCAAUUAUUAAUUCCAGGAAAAGCAGAAAACAUACAAGAAAGGAAACUGAAUUAUGGUAGAUUACUUAGCUUAACAAUAAAUAUUAUUUAUACAACCACAAUCAUGCAAACACUAUUAAUCUAACUAAAAUUGUGACACACAUGCAGAGGAUUGGCGAUGGUAUGUUUGUGAGUGUGAAUGUGUGUAUGUAUGUGUGUGUGUGUUGGGGGGGGGAGAGAGACAGAGAGAGAGAGAUAGAGAAACAGAAAGACAGAGAGAGAAAAGAGACUUCUGCCAAUCUACCAUCUUCCUUGGUAGGCAGUCAACUAAUAGGUAAUGGACUAUGUUGGUUACCCAACCAUUCAUAAUUCUUGCUCAUGGGGCCUAAAUUUUGUUUAAGUUUCCAAAUCAAACUGUCUCCUGUGUGAUUCAGAGAGAGCUGACAUCAUCUACAGCUCUAGGGAUAGAUAUGAAGCUAAACAUGAAUGGCAAUCAUUUUCCUCUGGCACGAUUGGUUUAAAAAUGGCCACAUGACCUAAUUCUGGCCAGUGACACAAGGGGAUGUCUUCUAGGCAGUUUCUGGGUAAAGACAGAAAUAUCAGCACUUCUUUUUCUUUUUCUGGGUAACUUCCUGUCAACAUAAUGCCCAGGACUUCUGCAAACAUGUUGUUACCAGUACAAGAACCAUAGGAGGGCAGGCCAAUAACAUCAGAGAGAAAGAGAGGCAGAGACCUAAUAGACUGUGCCUGGGGACUUCCCUGUCUCUGGACAACUUCAUAUGUGCAAUAAUAAGUUUUAUUUAAUUUCAGCCAAAUCAAGAGGCUAAGAAACAGCCCAGGGUUUCAUAGAUGAUAAGUGGCAAAAUCAGGAUUGGAACCCAGAUUGGCCUGAGUCAAAGACUUGAGGUCAACAUAAUUUCAUACUGUCAUUGUUGAGCAGUCUUUAAAGCAUCCUCUUAAAAAUGGAAAUCAAAUUUGUGAUAGAGAAAGAAAUUAGUGCGUGUGAAAGUGAGGGGAUGUGCCCUAUUGUCAACAAUAAAGACUACAAAUAAACUCUAGUAACUUACCUUCUAUUGUUUUAUUCUCACAAUAAAAGUGGUAUUUUUGGUUUUAGGUGGCUGCAAUGUCAAAAUUGAUUAGUUUCUUGACUAUGAAAUAAUUAUGUAACUUUAAUUACUUAAUUAUAGACCAUUGUCAAAUACACCUUAGCGAUAUCAACAACAAAUGACAACAAACUAUUACCUUAAAAAGAUAAUUCAAAUUAUUAUUUUAUCUGGGACACUAUAAUAUAUUCAAAAUAAUCCAGUUUCCCAAAUUCAGAAAAUUUAUUUUUUCUUUAAUAUGUUUUAAUUUUGAUAUAUUACAGACUAAAUCAAGUUAUAACAAUUUAAUUUAUUAUUUAGCAGAGUGAUUUGCUUUUGUAUGUAGGUAUUCAAAGAGAAAGCAGGAUCUAAUUCAUUUUGAAAGCUGAAAGACAAAGAGCAGUGUCUGGAAUGUGGUCCCUGCACUAAAACUAUUUGUUGAAUGAAAAACUGUGCAUCUACUUUAAGAAAAUCAUAAGUGGAAUAAAGAUAAAAUGAGAUUUUUGACUUUUGGGAUUGAUUUUGGCCAAAUUUGCUGUGUGGCUACUAAUUGUAUCAUUUAUUUAUUUUGAUUUAGG